UAUUCUUUAUAGCUUGCUACGGAUUUGGUUAGUGGCAGACGGGUGAGUAAUGCAUAGGAAUCUACCUAGUAGUAUGGGAUAGCCACUGGAAAUGGUGGGUAAUACCGUAUAAUCCCCGCGGGGGAAAGAUUUAUCGCUAUUAGAUGAGCCUAUGUCGGAUUAGCUAGUUGGUGGGGUAAUGGCCUACCAAGGCAGUGAUCUGUAGCUGGUCUGAGAGGAUGAUCAGCCACACUGGAACUGAGACACGGUCCAGACUCCUACGGGAGGCAGCAGUGGGGAAUAUUGGACAAUGGGCGCAAGCCUGAUCCAGCUAUGCCGCGUGAGUGAGGAAGGCCUUAGGGUUGUAAAACUCUUUCAGUAGGGAAGAUAAUG
Molecule: ribosomal RNA, 372 nt
Filed under: Anaplasma phagocytophilum
Lineage: Bacteria; Pseudomonadati; Pseudomonadota; Alphaproteobacteria; Rickettsiales; Anaplasmataceae
Description: bacterial SSU rRNA
Rfam family: Bacterial small subunit ribosomal RNA
Source: RNAcentral